AAUAGUUAUCGAUUGUAUUCAUAUUUAAGAAACUCUUUAUUAUAUAGCAAAGAUGAAAAUCAAGCAUUUUACCUUCUUGUGUUUAUGUGCACUACUUUCUAUCUCUAUUGUUGCAAUUGAGUCUUCUGAAGAUGAGAAACAAUGUACAUAUGUAAAUAGUAGUCAUGUAAUCACAAUUUAUUAAUUUUUUUUAUAUAAAAUAAAAGUUUUGGUUUAUUUUCAGUUGGCGAAAUAGAAGAGUCGAAGACAAACAUUGGGAUAAAUUACAAUGUGUUUUGGCUAGUAUAUGGUGGAAACAAAAACAACGGUGCCACUAGGGGAAACGUCAUACCAUUUCCCAUCAACAAAAAACGGAACGGUUGUGGAAAUGUUAUACCCUUUCCUGGAUGUGGUGGCCGCGGUGGUAACGUUGUAGACUUUCCUGGUGGUAGAAAGGGGGGAGGUGGUGGUAAAAAAUAAAUAGACUUUUUUAUGGUGAAAAGGGAUGCAGUGGCAAGAUGAGUCGUAGUGGUAAAGGGCUUGACGCUAGAAAACGGUGGAGUUGGAAAAGGUAUGGAUUUUCAAAAACGGUGUCACUAAUGGUCCAUUUAAAUUAAGGUAAAUGUGUUUUUUGGUAAAAAUUUGUAAUCUUAUCUUAUAUGAGAAAAGUUUGAAAAUGAAUUAGGUUUUUCUCUUAUGACAAUAAAAACAUAUUUUCAUAUGUGUUAGAUGUUCACCUUAUAAUUAUUUGCUAUUAUUUUCAGUGAUUUUAUGUGUAUUUGUAAAAUAGUUAUUAUUAUGACAUUUUUGUGCGCAAUUCAUAAUAAGUGUGUGUGUGUGUAGUAUUUUUAAUUUCUUCUAAACCAUUAUUUUAUUUUAAUUAUUUAUAUUUAUUUAUGGAUAAAUAGGAAGGCCCUAAUAUGGCCCCUUUAUUUUUGGGUCAGUUACUAGUGAUGAAAUUAUCAUGGCCCUGCAUAUGAAUUGUUAACAAUUAAUCAAUCAUAUGGCUAUAUAUGAUUUAUGAUUCAACUACGUAUUUCAUAUGUAACACAACACAAUUCUCUUGUGCUUUAGCUUCGCAGAAAUUAAGAGGCACUUCAUUUUUUUUUUCUCAAACACAAAUUACGGCUCUGUGUUGAAAAGCACUAAAAGGAGAAACCACGGUGUCAAUGCGGGGAAAAGGCAAUAUCAAAAUAGAGAUGUCUCUUUAUUUUAAAUUGGAUAUAUCUAAGUAUUUUCCUAAUUCUCAAAAGGAUUCUUCAAAAAAAUAAAAUACUUUCUCCAUCACAAACAUUUUUAUAUCAUUUUUUUUUUGAGGUAAUUUUAUUCCUUCUAUUCUUUAGAGCAUCAACCUCACACCAAGUGUAAUCUACUUAACAUACAUCUAACAUUUAGGCCAUCUACAACAAUAGAACAAUGCAUAACCAGUCCAACAUCAUUUAGUUAAUAAAAAUUAAGAUGAAUAUUUAGCAUUCAACUAUUAAUUCACAAGUCCAAAGGAGAUGUUAUAAGAUUUCAAUAUGGAUUAGAAUUAAUAUGGAACUAAGGAAAACGUAGCACACACUAGAUACCAUGAAACUUUUUCAAAUAGUGAUCUCUAAGCAACAGAGAGCCUAACAUCGAUGUCUUCGGUUUUUUAAAUUUUGCAAUCAACUCAAAACACAUUUAUACAAAUACAUCUCGGUUUUUUAAAUUUUGGAUUGCAAUUUUUGUUGUAAGUUUUUUCAUUCAAGCCAAUUUUUUUUUUA
RNAcentral lists this long non-coding RNA (1727 nucleotides) under Trifolium pratense (red clover). RNAcentral's name for it is "long non-coding RNA (TPRA_LNC002046)". The record is from RNAcentral. Lineage: Eukaryota; Viridiplantae; Streptophyta; Magnoliopsida; Fabales; Fabaceae.